RNAcentral lists this long non-coding RNA (4450 nucleotides) under Homo sapiens (human). RNAcentral's name for it is "non-protein coding lnc-RGS5-1:14". Lineage: Eukaryota; Metazoa; Chordata; Mammalia; Primates; Hominidae. The record is from RNAcentral.
CAAGCCCACGUCCAACCGCGACGGAUGCCGGUUGGGCUCAAGAGACGCCAGGCAGGUGGGACUGGAGUUGUCAUGGAAGGGGCAGGGCGCAGGGCGGAACCAUUGCUCGCGGAGCUGGCGUCGAGUCGGAACCUCGGACUGCAGGAAGUGGGAGCACCGCGGUUUCGGGGAAGAGACCGGGGUUGAGCGUCUAGCCCAUCUCUGCGUGACUUCCGCCAGCGUUUAGAGCGUUUUCGGGGUCCGAGUUGAAGAGCAAAACCAAGUGAAGGAAACUUCACUAAGUUCAGGGUGACAAGGGAGGAAGUACAGAGACUGCACUUUAAAUUCUGGAUGACAGACCUAUCAGGACUGAGUGGACCUUUGAGUGACAAGAUGGGGGUGUUCCAAAGAGACCAUGGCAGCCUGCAGCUAGGACUUUAAUGCAAGUGGUGAUGCUGUGAUAUCUAGUGCUUUAAACAAAUCUCUUUUUUUAAGUGACAGGGUUUCCAAAUUGUUAUUUCUACUUUAACAGAUCAAUAGGGACAAAAAGUUGAUUCACUUGGUCUAAUGUGGUAGGAAUAGGUGAAAUACUAAGACUGGAUCCUACACUCUACUUCCCAUCAGGCACCCAUUCUUAUGAAUAGAGAUUCCAUAGGGGCCACACACAAUCCCAGUACUUUUUUCCCAGUUAAUUGAGAAAAUUAAAGCCAUCAUACAAUAUAUAACUUCCUCCCUCUCCACUUCUGUCAAUGCCACAUAUAUCCACCUGUCUUAUUUGUCUGUCUCAGAAAAUGAAAUGUACUUCCUCCACCAAUGUAUGACCACUGUUUCUUGUUCUAGACCUCUCUUUUGCAUUUGGUAUCAUUGAUUAAACCCUCCUUGAAACUCGUUUUGCAUUUCUCCCAUCUUUUUCUACCUGUCUCAUGCUUCUUGGGGGUCUUUUUUUCUCUGCCUACCCAUUAAAUAGUAUUUCCCAAAGUUCCAACCUUGAGUUGUUUUCUGUCUGUAUCUUCCCUGUGAGCACUGUCCACUCAUUGUUUUAACCUAUUUGCUCAUGGAUUCUAAAACUACUGCUAUUCCUGACCUGUUCCUUGAAGUUCCGACUUUCGGGAGGCUCACGAGCCCUUCAAACUCUAAUUUGUCCUUUGCUUUCAUUUGUACUCCCAAUUCUAUCUCAUCUCACUGCUUUCAGCCAUAACUACUACCACCCCCACCUACACCGCCAAAUCCAUCUUGUAAGUAGCAGCCAGAAUGACCAGUCUCAAAUGUAAAUCUAUUUCACUUGCCUCCUUAAAUUUCUAAUCUUCCUCUGCAGUCACCUUCAAGAUAGUCCAACUCCAUGGCCUGGUGUGCUAGGGUCUUCAUUAUCUUGCCACUGUUUUCCUUCCCAGUCUUGUUUCCCUUUCCAGUACCAUCUCCCAUCCUACCCACUUCGCAUUCAUGAGGCUGCUUUACACCUGAGACCUUUUGCAUUCUUGUUGACUUUGUCUGGACUAUCUUUAUUUUCUUUGGCUGACUCUUCCUUAUCCUUACUAAUUUUUUAGGGCUCUUGCAAGAAGCCUUUCCUUGUUCCAUAGUCUGAGUUAGUUGACUUUUCUCUCUGCUUUCUUGACAUUUGUGGGUUCAUUCAGAAAAUAUUCAUUGAACCCUUAUUUUGUGCCAGACACUGAGCUAGAUACUAGAAAUAUAAUAAUGAACAAGCAAAUAUGGCAAUAACCAAUCUAAUAAUUUCCUGACAGAGUUUACAUUCUCAUAGGGAAAAAAGAAAAAAAAAAAGGCAGUUCAGUCUUAUUGGCUCCAUGCUUGAUAAUAGCUAGGAAUUGAAAGGGUAAAAAACAAGUAUUCUAGAUAGAGGCUAACAAUGUUUAUGAAGAAGAACACAGUCUAGGAACUGAGAGAUUCUAGACAGGGGUGGAGAGGUAAACAGGGACCAGAUCAUGAAGAACAUUAGUGAUGAUGUCACAAAGUUUGGACUCCUUCUUAAGGCUAAUAGUAACUUUGAAUGGUUUCAACAUGAUUAGGUUAGUAUUUAGAUGAUGAAUCGCUACUCUGAGAAAAAGAACUCAAAGGGCAGCAAUACCAGCAAGAAGGAAACCAGUUAGGAGAUAAUUGUAGUAAUCCAGGGAAAGAAAGAUGGCAGUUUAUACUGGGGCAUUGCCAGUGUGGAUAGAAAUAGAUCUCAGAAGAAUUUUAGGAAGUAGAAGUGGCAAAACUUGGUGACUGAAUUGUGAGGGCAGAAGUGGGAGAAAUCAAGGAUAGAGUUUCUUAAACAAGCUUUGGUGAAGACAGGGACUACCCUAUUUGCUGUCAUGUAUCCACAGCUUAGCACAAAUCUUUAUACGCUGGAGAUGCUUGAUAAGUACGAGUGAAAUUUUCUGGCUUGAGUACCCAGAUAAAUGGGAUGCCAGUCUCUGAUUUAGGUAACACAGAGGCAGACUCACUUGGGAGGUAACUGGUGAUUCAGUUUUAAACAUGUCUAGCUCAACAUGCCUGUGAAACAUACACAUGACAAUGUCCAGAUACAUGGCAAUUGGAUGAAUGAUUCUGAAACUCAAAAAGAGAGGUCUGAGAUGGAUUCUUUGCAUACUUACAAAAAAAAAGUUUAUGUUAUAUUGAAAUGAUCUGUUUUGUGCCUGUCUCCACUAUUAUACAGGGCUGGUUCUUAAUGACCUUUGAUGCUCCAACACCUAACACCAUGCCUGGUACAAACUGCACACUCAAUUAGUAUUUGUUGUUGAACUGAACUCCUUUUGAGACAUGAUGCGUCUAACAAAGUAAUAGUAGUAGCCUCUGAGGAGGGAAACUAGCAGGUCAGAGUGAAAAAGAAAUUUUCUUUUUGUUGAAUAUAUUUUAGUUCUUUUUGCCUUUUCCUCCAAUGUAUUUCUAUUUCCUGAGAAAUAAAAAGAUGACAUAAAAAGUGUUCUAUUAGAUUUUUGUGGACUUAAUACCGAAAGCAAUAUUCCAACUAUGUUCUAGUCACUAUAGAGUGGAAUAUUAAAAUGCUAUCUGAUAUUAUAUCAUAUUAGCUUUUUUUUUUUUUGAGAUAGGGUCUCACUGUGUUGCCCAGGCUGGUGUCAUCAUAGCUUACUGCAGCCUCAAACUCCUGUGCUCAAGCACCACAUUACGUUAUUGAUUGGUUUACAAAUUCUAUGGUUGUAUUAUUGAUGCCAUCAUUCAAUUCACUUAUAUGAAUUAUGAACAGUAAUAGCAAGAUGAAGUGAAAUUAUGAACACACAUUUUAUAUUAAGGGCAUGAGACAAAAUCUUUGAAACUAUGUACUGUAUUAUGCGAUAUAUACAAAAUCUGCAAAAGCAAACAAGUGUCAUUGUUUUAUACCUGCCUAAUGUUUCAUAUGAGAGGAAAUAAUGAUACGUCUCUCCUAUCAGCCAACAUUUCUAGCUUGCUGACAUAGGUAGCAUUUAAUAUGCAAAACCCUUUAAUCACAAAUAUCAGAAAGCACAUCUUAACUGUAGUUAUAAAUGGGUAAGUAAAAAUGCGUAAUGCUUUUAUAUAUUUUUGAGUUAGUAUUGUAGUGUAUAAUUUUAUAUAAAUGGUUGAGGCCAUAGAUAUUUUGAAAGUACGCUAGUAUUUAAAGAAAAUGGUAAAUUCUAGUAACACUUUUGAAUAUACAGCAUAUUCACUGGGUGGCGCUGUUGCAUUAGUGUUAACCUUACAUAGUUUGAAAGUUUUAUUUCAUUUUCAUUCAUAAAAGUAAAUUAGAGUGAUAAACAUUGAACACAAUGUUCUGGAUGAAAAAAAUUAGAUUCUAAAUUUAUUGGCAUUAGAAUACAUGUUUAGAGCCCAGGGUUAAGAAGAAAAAUAGCGUUGAAUUCAAAAUAGCUAUCUGCUUUUUAUUACCCUUUCAUCAUUACAAGCCUGUUAAUCCACUUGACUUCUCAGCUGUGUUCAUCUUUAUUAGUGGAUUUCAGAACUGAGCUGUACAUUUGCAAUACAGUAUCUUUGUUAAGGACUCGCAUGGAAUUCUUAGUUUGGAACUAUAAAGUACCUAUUCUUUGCUAAUUUGUGAUGAGCUCUAAACAAGAUCCAAGGAAGCAAAAAGUUGCUAUAUUAAACUCUAACCUCUCUAGUAUCAUUUCCCCAACUUUCACAGCAAACUCUAUUAUUUUAAUAUAGUUAGUAUAGAGAACCUUAGGAAUUAUCAGCUGAAACAAAUUAGAUAUUCUUAAAAUUUUUUGGUCAAUGUGACUUUUUAAAAUUCAGUUUUCUUUUGUAGAGAUGGGGUCUCACUAUGUUGGCCAGGCUGAUCUCGAACUCCUGGCCUCAGGCAGUCCUACUGUCUUGGCCUCCCAAAGUGCUGGAAUUACAGGAAUGAGCCAACAUACCCGGCCUAACUUCAAUUUUUAUAUUCUGUAUAUUUUCAAUAUUAGUAUUACAAUAUCCAGUGCUAUUUUUCAGUUAUUUCAAAUGAGUUAAUGAGAUUCUCAGGAAAAAUACUGAUCUUAAUGUAGUC